GGGGGUGCCCAGGUUUCGACGGGGAUUGGAAGCGCAGGUUGCAUGCCGGGGACGCCAGUUGGCCUCGUUAAAAAACUGGCACACACACAAACGCCGACACUGACGUUCGUUACGCACUAGCGGCUUAAUUGCCGCUACAUCCCCCUGAUCUAGCGCCCACAUGGGACCCGGGGAUGUCAUUAUGGUGGGCUAGCUCCCGGGAAUGCCUGUGGCCCAGGAGCGAAAUCAAAGCCGGAUCGCCCAAAGAGGAGCCUGUCCGUGGGGGCCUCGCGGGUUAAAUCAAAUUACGGACUACGCAUGUAGAAGCUUAUCGUGAAAGAUUUUCGGACGCGGGUUCGAUUCCCGCCACCUCCACCA
Non-coding RNA from Desulfuromonadales bacterium GWD2_61_12, 357 nucleotides. The record is from Rfam. Lineage: Bacteria; Pseudomonadati; Thermodesulfobacteriota; Desulfuromonadia; Desulfuromonadales.